GAUGAACGCUGGCGGCGUGCCUAAUACAUGCAAGUCGAGCGAACGGACGAGAAGCUUGCUUCUCUGAUGUUAGCGGCGGACGGGUGAGUAACACGUGGAUAACCUACCUACAAGACUGGGAUAACUUCGGGAAACCGGAGCUAAUACCGGAUAAUAUUUUGAACCGCAUGGUUCAAAAGUGAAAGACGGUCUUGCUGUCACUUAUAGCUGGAUCCGCGCUGCAUUAGCUAGUUGGUAAGGUAACGGCUUACCAAGGCAACGAUGCAUAGCCGACCUGAGAGGGUGAUCGGCCACACUGGAACUGAGACACGGUCCAGACUCCUACGGGAGGCAGCAGUAGGGAAUCUUCCGCAAUGGGCGAAAGCCUGACGGAGCAACGCCGCGUGAGUGAUGAAGGUCUUCGGAUCGUAAAACUCUGUUAUUAGGGAAGAACAUAUGUGUAAGUAACUGUGCACAUCUUGACGGUACCUAAUCAGAAAGCCACGGCUAACUACGUG
RNAcentral lists this ribosomal RNA (497 nucleotides) under uncultured bacterium. RNAcentral describes it as "partial 16S ribosomal RNA". It matches the Rfam family "Bacterial small subunit ribosomal RNA", at positions 28 to 507 of the family's 1533-position model. The record is from RNAcentral.